UACGGAGGGGGCUAGCGUUAUUCGGAAUUAUUGGGCGUAAAGGGCGUGUAGGCGGCUUCGUAAGUCUUGUGUGAAAGCCCUCGGCUCAACCGAGGAAUUGCACGAGAAACUGCGUGGCUCGAGUCCGGGAGAGGAUAGUGGAAUUCCCAGUGUAGCGGUGAAAUGCGUAGAUAUUGGGAGGAACACCGGUGGCGAAGGCGGCAUCCUGGACCGACACUGACGCUGAGGCGCGAAAGCUAGGGGAGCAAACGGG
This 253-nucleotide ribosomal RNA is filed under the name uncultured bacterium. RNAcentral describes it as "partial 16S ribosomal RNA". It matches the Rfam family "Bacterial small subunit ribosomal RNA", at positions 524 to 776 of the family's 1533-position model. The record is from RNAcentral.